UUUUAAGACAUGCAAAUCGUUGUUCCUAAAAAUUUAUCUUUAUUUAAAGAAAUUCAAAUAAAGAUAAAUAAUAAGAAUAAGGUGUAAAGGUGAGUAAUAUAAAUUAGAUACCUUAUAGACUCCUUAAUUAGGAGAUAAUUUAUUUCUCUAUCUUAAUAAGAUAGGGAUACUUAUUUAAAUAAGGAAAGUAAAGAUAAAUUAGCUAUUUAUUAAAAAAAGGAAAUUUUCUGCUAUAAGAUUCGAUUUAUUUUGUUUAAAGGUAGUUGGAAGGGUAAAUGCCUCCCAAGCCGAUGAUCAAAAGCCAUGUUUGAUAGAGCAGAUGGCCACAUUGGGUAUGAAAAGCCCCAAGUAGAAUUAUCUACCAGCAGUCAAGAAUAUUAGUCAAUGCUCGCAAGAGUGAACUAGCUAACUGAAAUCACAGGAUCCACUACGUGUGGUGAAUGUUAUAACGUAAGGGAAAAAAAUGAUAUUACCUUACUAUUAGUGUUGUCCAAAACUGGUGCCAGAAGACUCGGUAAGGCCAGAGACGCAUACGUUAGUCGUCCUAAUCAGGCGUAAAGGGUAUGUAGGCUGCUUUAAAAGUUUUAUGUUUAAUAGCUCUGUUUAAAUAUAUAAUAAAAAAUAUUAAUAAUUAAACAGUAAAUAUACAAUUAAUUAAAGCUAGAAUCAAAUUGAGGAUAAGUUAAAUAAUACUUAGUGUAGGGUUUGAAUCUGGUGAUACUAGGGGGAAUACUAACGGUGAAAGCUUUUUAUCUAGAAAUGAUUGACGCUGAGAAACGAAGGUGAGAAUAGGAAAUAGGAUUAGAUACCCAGAUACCUCUCACAGUCAACGAUGAAUGGUGGUUGUUAGUUAUUUAAAUUUAACUGAUAACGAUGUUAACACGAUAACCAUUCCGCCUUGCGAGUACGGUUGCAAAACUGAAACCAAAAAAAUUAGUCGGUCUCGAAGCAAACGAAGUGAAGCAUGUUAUUUAAUACGAUAAUACGCGUAAAAUCUUACCAGUCCUUGUAUAUCCAAUUUUUUUUAUGUAAAAAUAAGAAAGAUUGAGUAAUUUUUUUAAAUUAAAAAAUUCGUUUACAGGUGUUGCAUGGCUGUCGUCAGUCCGUGCCGUGAGAAGUGAGGUUAACUCCACUAACGGACGAAAUCCCUGCUGUUAAUUUUUACUUAACAGUUAAUGAGAUUUAUAAGAUUUCAUUUGGGGCGAAGACAAGUCGUUAUGGUCCUCAUGGAC
This 1232-nucleotide ribosomal RNA is filed under the name Entoloma flavoconicum. Its description in RNAcentral is "Entoloma favoconicum partial small subunit ribosomal RNA". It matches the Rfam family "Bacterial small subunit ribosomal RNA", at positions 46 to 1209 of the family's 1533-position model. The record is from RNAcentral. Lineage: Eukaryota; Fungi; Basidiomycota; Agaricomycetes; Agaricales; Entolomataceae.